Molecule: long non-coding RNA, 867 nt
Organism: Setaria italica (foxtail millet)
Lineage: Eukaryota; Viridiplantae; Streptophyta; Magnoliopsida; Poales; Poaceae
Exons: 4
Source: RefSeq, a predicted model, not a curated record
CCAAACCCUAGCUCACUUCUCCCCAAUCUUCCACCUGCGCGCCGCCCUCACUCUCUACCUCAGCAAAAAUUAGGCGGCCGCCGCGCGCUCGUUCCUCCCCAAAUUCGCUCAACGCGCUCCUCCGCCCUCGCCAUUUCGCCGCCAUGCCGACUUGUCCCAGCCAAAUCACUCGCGCUCGCUGGCCCCUGCCAAAUCCAUAUCCCUACCGCGCCUGCUCCAUCUCCCCAAAUCACCACCGUGCCCUCCCUCUCCCAACCUCACGCAGUCUACUUCCUCCCCCAAAUCUUGCGCCACCGCCUUCGUUUGCUGCUAGCUCGGCCCUUGCCGCCCCAAUCUUCUCCACGUUGCUUUUCCCUUGACCCCUCAACCCCAAUCUCCUGCAUUGCCGGUCACUUUGCUGCAAGAACAAGGCGUCCUUCCCCCUAUGUAUUCGCUCAAGCUCAUCAACUGCAUGGAACUGUGGUCCAUCUAGGUGCUCCACCGUAUGGGUCCAUUGAGAAGACUAACAAGGCAUUCUUGAACGCUUGACGGGUUUUUGGGAAGAAAGCAUUUAAAAUCUACGUUCCAAUGAAAUCAAGGCAGUUCUGGAAGAAAUGCUAGGAGGGUCCCUUGAAGCCAUUUGCAAGUGUUCAUGAUUUUUGUGUUGUUUUGGAGUCUGUGGAGGUGAAUAUUUUGCACUCAACCUAAAUGGCUGCAAGCUUGGUUAUAUGGCUGUGAGCUAGCUUUGUUGCUCAGUUAGUUUGAUGCACAAUGUAUCAUUGUUGGCCGGACUACUAGCUCAUGUAUGGAUGACUUAAUAUCAUGUAUGAAUGACUUAAUAUCAAUGGUACAUGCUUUCCAAUGAAUCGAUGCAAUAUGUUUCCACUC